Molecule: ribosomal RNA, 293 nt
Filed under: uncultured bacterium
Lineage: Bacteria
Description: partial 16S ribosomal RNA
Rfam family: Archaeal small subunit ribosomal RNA
Source: RNAcentral
GUGCCAGCCGCCGCGGUAAUACCGGCAGCACGAGUGAUGACCGAUAUUAUUGGGCCUAAAGCGUCCGUAGCUGGCCAAGCAAGUCCAUUGGGAAAUCGACGUGCUCAACGCGUCGGCGUCCGGUGGAAACUGUUUGGCUUGGGGCCAGAAGACCUGAGGGGUACGUCCGGGGUAGGAGUGAAAUCCUGUAAUCCUGGACGGACCACCAAUGGGGAAACCACCUCAGGAGGAUGGACCCGACAGUGAGGGACGAAAGCUAGGGUCUCGAACCGGAUUAGAUACCCUGGUAGUCC